This 72-nucleotide transfer RNA is filed under the name Bos taurus (domestic cattle). It matches the Rfam family "tRNA". Rfam says of the family: Transfer RNA (tRNA) molecules are approximately 80 nucleotides in length. RNAcentral also lists the same sequence under 2 other names. Lineage: Eukaryota; Metazoa; Chordata; Mammalia; Artiodactyla; Bovidae. The record is from Rfam by way of RNAcentral.
UCCCUGGUGGCUCAGAUGGUAAAGCGUCUGCCUGCAAUGCAGGAGACCCAGGUUCGAUCCCUGGGUUGAGAA